Long non-coding RNA from Peromyscus leucopus (white-footed mouse), 360 nucleotides. RefSeq lists it as uncharacterized. The transcript is spliced from 3 exons. Lineage: Eukaryota; Metazoa; Chordata; Mammalia; Rodentia; Cricetidae. The record is from RefSeq and is a predicted model, not a curated record.
UGCUUCAUGUACAGUGCCUAGACAAGCUUGGCCCCGUGUGACUGCUCCCCAGAUGCCCGCUGGACCUACAGAUCCACACCAAGGCCCACAGAGGCCCUUCGAGGAGCACACCCUCCGCUCCGAUCGGGCCAGAGUGCAAGGAGGCAGGGAUGGGGAGAGGACAAGAGAGGGGCGACCUGUUCCACCUGUCCGAAGACCCGAAGCAGGUUUCCUCGAAGGACACCUUGCAGCUCCUGUUCACUCCAGCCUCGCCUCAGCAACUCCUCGAUGAGCACUGGGCCCAGGCCAUGGAGAGAAGUGUCCUCACCACACUGUCCACCACCACCAUGCCACCGGAGCCAGGCGCUGUGCUCACCAGGG